AGGUGUAUAGCUCAGUGGUAAAGUGCAGGCUUAGCAUGCAUGAGGUCCUGGGUUCAGUCCCCAGUGCCUCCA
RNAcentral lists this transfer RNA (72 nucleotides) under Camelus ferus (Wild Bactrian camel). It matches the Rfam family "tRNA". From Rfam's summary of the family: Transfer RNA (tRNA) molecules are approximately 80 nucleotides in length. The record is from Rfam by way of RNAcentral. Lineage: Eukaryota; Metazoa; Chordata; Mammalia; Artiodactyla; Camelidae.